RNAcentral lists this ribosomal RNA (283 nucleotides) under Phascolarctobacterium faecium. RNAcentral's name for it is "partial 16S ribosomal RNA". It matches the Rfam family "Bacterial small subunit ribosomal RNA", at positions 493 to 776 of the family's 1533-position model. The record is from RNAcentral. Lineage: Bacteria; Bacillati; Bacillota; Negativicutes; Acidaminococcales; Acidaminococcaceae.
UCUUUUCCUUUUUUUCCAUCAGCCGCGGUAAUACGUAGGUGGCGAGCGUUGUCCGGAAUUAUUGGGCGUAAAGAGCAUGUAGGCGGCUUAAUAAGUCGAGCGUGAAAAUGCGGGGCUCAACCCCGUAUGGCGCUGGAAACUGUUAGGCUUGAGUGCAGGAGAGGAAAGGGGAAUUCCCAGUGUAGCGGUGAAAUGCGUAGAUAUUGGGAGGAACACCAGUGGCGAAGGCGCCUUUCUGGACUGUGUCUGACGCUGAGAUGCGAAAGCCAGGGUAGCGAACGGG